ACUUGCACGAAGCGGUACUGGAUCACUACUUAGUGGCGGAAGGGUGAGUAACACGUGGGUAAUCUGCCUCAGAGACUUGGAUAACUACUAGAAAUGGUAGCUAAUACCGGAUGAGAGAUAGAAAGAUACGUUUUUUCUAUAGUAAAAGAAGCCUUUUAAAGCUUCACUUUGAGAUGAGCCUGCGGCGUAUUAGCUAGUUGGUGGGGUAAAGGCCUACCAAGGCGACGAUGCGUAGCCGACCUGAGAGGGUGAUCGGCCACACUGGGACUGAGACACGGCCCAGACUCCUACGGGAGACAGCAGUUAGGAAUAUUCGUCAAUGGGGGGAACCCUGAACGAGCAAUGCCGCGUGAACGAAGAAGGUCCUCUGGACUUGUAAAGUUCUGUUGUUAGGGACGAACGACCAGUAUAGGAAAUGAUACUUGGAGUGACGGUACCUUUCAAGAAAGCUCCGGCUAACUACGUGCC
RNAcentral lists this ribosomal RNA (468 nucleotides) under uncultured bacterium. RNAcentral's name for it is "bacterial SSU rRNA". It matches the Rfam family "Bacterial small subunit ribosomal RNA", at positions 53 to 509 of the family's 1533-position model. The record is from RNAcentral.